RNAcentral lists this long non-coding RNA (1696 nucleotides) under Sparus aurata (gilthead seabream). Its description in RNAcentral is "lncRNA (ENSSAUG00010014608.1)". Lineage: Eukaryota; Metazoa; Chordata; Actinopteri; Spariformes; Sparidae. The record is from RNAcentral.
GUAUGCCAGUUUGCCAAUGGCAACAAAGUGUGGGAAUGGACCCCUCGCACUUCCUGCAAACUGAGUUCAGUGCACCUCACAUCCUGCAUGGCCCAAAUUCAGCACCAGCAGGAUAUUCAUUGGCCUGCUUUGUGUAUGUGUGACUGCAGCCGGAUACGAAUACCGUAGUCUAGCAAUACAUUCUACACCCUCCCAUUGGGGAGAACUCCCUCAUGAAGAGUAGAUGGAUUUGCAUUGAGUUAACAUGUAGGAGCUCAAACGUCGAGUGGUCUUCCACUGUAGUUCUAACAGCUACUCCCAGCAGGGCUGUGAGAAAGAUGUAAGUGGAGAAGCAAGGACACACCUGCCUCCUCCGUCCAUCCCUCCAGGAAUGGAAGAUCCUCCAUGAUGGCAGUGGAACCAUUUCCCGGUCAUGGGAGGAGAGAGGAAGCACAAGACAGCACCGUCGCCUGGCUGGACUCACAAUCGACUGAUGACAUGUGGCCGCUGAACAUCAGGGUGACUUCUAUCUUCCAGCCUGUGGCCUUCAUGACAGGAGGCUGUGUGUGCAGCCUCCUUCACAGAGAGGAGGAGGAGGAGGAGGAGGAGGAGAGACAGGCAGGGUCUGAGGAGCACUGACCCGUCUGCACUGUGCUGCCCCCUGUUGAAGGCUGCUGGCUGUUGUGAUGACGUCAGCACUGAGCUGCUGUUCUGACUGGAGCUUAUGAAAGCACGUGACAGCUGAACACAGUUUGUUUACUAAGUUUACAUCUCUGGAAGUAAACACACCUUUGAUUCUAACUAGCAGAUGUAGUAAUAAUAAUAAUAAUAAUGAUGAUGAUGAUGAUGAUGAUGAUGAUGAUGAUGAUAAUAAUAAUCUUAUAUACUCUGCAUGUGCAUUUAUGAGGAAAAACAUUCUUUAUUUUGCAAGCAUGUAAUAAAAUGAUCUUCAUGAUAUUGUGUGUAUUAAUUGAAAAGGCCUGUCCACUAAACUCAGUCAUAGCACGAGGACACAUGGACACGUGAGGGAUUGUUUAAUACGUUUGUCUCAUCUUGACUAAAUGUGAACAUAGUGGAAGCAUGAGAACAGAUGAUUCCUCCCUGCGCGCUGAUAUGAAGGCUGCUGUCUGGAACAAAGGCCUCUGCUCUCCUGGCACACAAGGGGUUAAGGUGCGCGAACGCCCGAGUUGGCGUUGGAGGUAUUUCACGCGCAGUGAUUAACGAUAUUGAUUGACGAAACAUGCGGAAUUGUAAUGUUUUACUACCAAGGAGGAACAAAGAGCCGGGCUCUCCUCCUCUAACUGAUCAGCAGUGGCGCUGAAAUAAUGUAAUUAACUACAGUAAAGGCUUUGCGCGCGGAACGACCCGAAUCAUUAACUACUAACUACUUGUUUUAAGAAAAUGAAAAGUGCCUGAAUCCACAAGCGCCUAAAUGAUGAUUGAGGUCGACAAAGCGCCUGCCCGCAAGAAAACAAGUCUGUCCAAAUGUGGCUCAGAAGAAAGGGGAGUCCGCUUUCAACCUGAUCACAAACUUGGUUUUGAAGGGAGAGUGCCCCGCCCUCCUGGUCCUUAUAACCAGAAAGCCUGUUUGCAGGACGCUCAAACAUAACAGGAACACCGGAGACCACAUCGACGUGCAUGAACCAGUCCUGGAGACGAACUCUGGCUACAAAGACUUUACGGAUUACGCUGGUUGUUUCGCCUUUUUGAUCGCAAG